GAUACAACGGUGAAAGACCAACUCUGAAAUUAAACGUUUGUUGAGUCGUGACAAAGAAUUUCUUCUUUGGUCGUGAUAAAAGCGCUUUCUACAUCUCCCAGCGUACUUUGAGAGCAACUCCAGUCCGAUUGAUCAUUUUGGAAUGUCGUUCAAUAAAAGGGCUUGAUUGGAGGACGGCGUUUGUCCGUCAGACAAAGAGGGUGACUAGAACUGAAUUCUAUUGGCUCUGACGGUUCCAGACAACACCCGCUUGCGCAUGCGCAAAGUGGGUCUGUGUCGUCAUCGUCAGGCUAGCUUAACCUGGACCGGUUCGGAUUGAAUUUGGGGGUAACAGCUCAAACGAGAUUUGGAAGAACAUGACCUGAAAGUCUCCUUCAACGAACUAUGACAAAUAAAAUGAUGGCCAUAAUGAGCCUCAGAGGAAGAAGUGGGAAGGUUGCCUUCAUGAAGACUCAUCUCUACAAGAUAAUCUGUGGUGAGUUUGCUUUAACAUAUAAGUUUU
Molecule: long non-coding RNA, 502 nt
Organism: Perca fluviatilis (European perch)
Lineage: Eukaryota; Metazoa; Chordata; Actinopteri; Perciformes; Percidae
Exons: 3
Source: RefSeq, a predicted model, not a curated record